AGUGAACGCUGGCGGUAGGCCUAACACAUGCCAGUCGAACGGCAGCACAGUAAGAGCUUGCUCUUACGGGUGGCGAGUGGCGGACGGGUGAGGAAUACAUCGGAAUCUACUUUUUCGUGGGGGAUAACGUAGGGAAACUUACGCUAAUACCGCAUACGACCUACGGGUGAAAGCAGGGGAUCUUCUGACCUUGCGCGAUUGAAUGAGCCGAUGUCGGAUUAGCUAGUUGGCGGGGUAAAGGCCCACCAAGGCGACGAUCCGUAGCUGGUCUGAGAGGAUGAUCAGCCACACUGGAACUGAGACACGGUCCAGACUCCUACGGGAGGCAGCAGUGGGGAAUAUUGGACAAUGGGCGCAAGCCUGAUCCAGCCACACCGCGUGGGUGAAGAAGGCCUUCGGGUUGUAAAGCCCUUUUGUUGGGAAAGAAAAGCAGCAGGUUAAUACCCCGCUGUUCUGACGGUACCCAAAGAAUAAGCACCGGCUAACUUCGUG
Molecule: ribosomal RNA, 492 nt
Filed under: uncultured bacterium
Lineage: Bacteria
Description: partial 16S ribosomal RNA
Rfam family: Bacterial small subunit ribosomal RNA
Source: RNAcentral